UACGUAGGGUGCGAGCGUUAAUCGGAAUUACUGGGCGUAAAGCGUGCGCAGGCGGUUCGCUAAGACCGAUGUGAAAUCCCCGGGCUUAACCUGGGAACUGCAUUGGUGACUGGCGGGCUAGAGUAUGGCAGAGGGGGGUAGAAUUCCACGUGUAGCAGUGAAAUGCGUAGAGAUGUGGAGGAAUACCGAUGGCGGAGGCAGCCCCCUGGGCCAAUACUGACGCUCAUGCACGAAAGCGUGGGGAGCAAACAGG
RNAcentral lists this ribosomal RNA (253 nucleotides) under uncultured bacterium. Its description in RNAcentral is "partial 16S ribosomal RNA". It matches the Rfam family "Bacterial small subunit ribosomal RNA", at positions 524 to 776 of the family's 1533-position model. The record is from RNAcentral.